CAUUAUGAGAGUUUGAUCCUGGCUCAGGACGAACGCUGGCGGCGUGCCUAAUACAUGCAAGUCGAACGCUUUUUCUUUCACCGGAGCUUGCUCCACCGAAAGAAAAAGAGUGGCGAACGGGUGAGUAACACGUGGGUAACCUGCCCAUCAGAAGGGGAUAACACUUGGAAACA
Molecule: ribosomal RNA, 173 nt
Filed under: Enterococcus gallinarum
Lineage: Bacteria; Bacillati; Bacillota; Bacilli; Lactobacillales; Enterococcaceae
Also listed under: 2 other names
Description: partial 16S ribosomal RNA
Rfam family: Bacterial small subunit ribosomal RNA
Source: RNAcentral